This 897-nucleotide ribosomal RNA is filed under the name Apis mellifera meda. RNAcentral's name for it is "partial large subunit ribosomal RNA". The record is from RNAcentral. Lineage: Eukaryota; Metazoa; Arthropoda; Insecta; Hymenoptera; Apidae.
UGUGAUAAAUUAUUUAAUGAUUUUAAAUAUCUCGAAAAUAAGGGAGCUAAAUUUAUAUUAUUUUUUUUGUAGCAAUAAAAUUAUAAAUAUAGAUUUAGAAAUUAAAUGUUAAACGAACUUAUUAAUAUCUAGUUUUUUUAGAAAUAAAUUUAAUUUAGAUAUAAUUAUUUUAGUAAAUUAAAUUUUAUUUUAAUUUAUUAAUUUUUAUAUUAAAAAUUUAUGGGAUAAUCUAUAAAUUUAAGAUAAAAAUUUAAUUUUAAUUUUUAAUGUUAUAGAGAUAAUAUUUUUCUUUAAUUUUAAUAAUUUAAUAAUUUAAUAUUUAUAAAUUAAUAAUGAUUUAAAUUUAUAUUUUAUUUUUCUAUAAAAAUUUAUAUUUUAAUUAAUAAAAUAUAGAAAUAAUGAUUAGAUUAGUAAUAAAGUUAUAUUUUAUAAUGAUAUUUUGUAUUAUAUAAUUUAAAGGAAUUCGGCAAAUAUAUUAUUCACCUGUUUAUCAAAAACAUGUCCUGUUGAUUAUAAUUUUAGGUCGAUCUGCUCAAUGAAUUAUUUUAAAUAGCUGCAGUAUGUUGACUGUACAAAGGUAGCAUAAUAAAUUGUCUUUUAAUUGAAGAAUUGUAUGAAAGAAUUAAUGAAAUAAUAACUGUCUCUAAAUUAUUAAAUGAAUUUAAAUUUUUAGUUAAAAUUCUAAAAUUUAAUUAUGGGACGAUAAGACCCUAUAGAAUUUAAUUUAAUUUUUAAAUUUAUUUAUAAUUUUAAUAAAUAUAUUUAAGAUUAAAUUUGAUUGGGAGGAUUGGUAAAUUUAAUAAACUUUAUUUAAGAUUUAAUUUUGAUAUAAAGAUAAUUUUUUGAAUUAUAAAUUGUAAUUAAAAGAAUAAAUUACCUUAGGGAUAACAGCGUAAU